UAGUUGGUGAGGUAAUGGCUCACCAAGGCGACGAUCCGUAACUGGUCUGAGAGGAUGAUCAGUCACACUGGAACUGAGACACGGUCCAGACUCCUACGGGAGGCAGCAGUGGGGAAUAUUGGACAAUGGGCGAAAGCCUGAUCCAGCCAUGCCGCGUGUGUGAAGAAGGUCUUCGGAUUGUAAAGCACUUUAAGUUGGGAGGAAGGGCAGUAAGUCAAUACCUUGCUGUUUUGACGUUACCAACAGAAUAAGCACCGGCUAACUUCGUGCCAGCAGCCGCGGUAAUACGAAGGGUGCAAGCGUUAAUCGGAAUUACUGGGCGUAAAGCGCGCGUAGGUGGUUUUGUAAGUUGGAGGUGAAAUCCCCGGGCUCAACCUGGGAACUGCCUCCAAAACUGCAUGACUAGAGUACGGUAGAGGGUAGUGGAAUUUCCUGUGUAGCGGUGAAAUGCGUAGAUAUUGGAAGGAACACCAGUGGCGAAGGCGACUACUCGGACUGAUACUGACACUGAGUGCGAAAGCGUGGGGAGCAACACGGAUUAGAUACCCUGGUA
Molecule: ribosomal RNA, 553 nt
Filed under: uncultured bacterium
Lineage: Bacteria
Description: bacterial SSU rRNA
Rfam family: Bacterial small subunit ribosomal RNA
Source: RNAcentral